UGGGGAAUAUUGGACAAUGGGCGCAAGCCUGAUCCAGCCAUGCCGCGUGGAUGAAGAAGGCCCUAGGGUUGUAAGGUCCUUUCGACGGAGACGAUAAUGACGGUAUCCGUAGAAGAAGCCCCGGCUAAUUUCGUGCCAGCAGCCGCGGUAAUACGAAAGGGGCUAGCGUUGUUCGGAAUUACUGGGCGUAAAGCGCACGUAGGCGGUCGUGUAAGAUGGGGGUGAAAUCCCGGAGCUCAACUCCGGAACUGCCUUCAUGACUGCAUGGCUAGAGGAUGCGAGAGGUUGGCGGAAUUCCGAGUGUAGAGGUGAAAUUCGUAGAUAUUCGGAAGAACACCAGUGGCGAAGGCGGCCAACUGGCGCAUUUCUGACGCUGAGGUGCGAAAGCGUGGGGAGCAAACAGGAUUAGAUACCCAUGUAGUCCCUGAGCGGGCUGGCAAGGCGCAU
RNAcentral lists this ribosomal RNA (447 nucleotides) under uncultured bacterium. RNAcentral's name for it is "bacterial SSU rRNA". It matches the Rfam family "Bacterial small subunit ribosomal RNA", at positions 355 to 825 of the family's 1533-position model. The record is from RNAcentral.